UACGUAGGGUGCAAGCGUUGUCCGGAAUUAUUGGGCGUAAAGAGCUCGUAGGCGGUUUGUCGCGUCUGCUGUGAAAACGCGAGGCUCAACCUCGCGCCUGCAGUGGGUACGGGCAGACUAGAGUGCGGUAGGGGAGAUUGGAAUUCCUGGUGUAGCGGUGGAAUGCGCAGAUAUCAGGAGGAACACCGAUGGCGAAGGCGGGUCUCUGGGCAGUAACUGACGCUGAGGAGCGAAAGCGUGGGGAGCGAACAGG
This 253-nucleotide ribosomal RNA is filed under the name uncultured bacterium. RNAcentral's name for it is "partial 16S ribosomal RNA". It matches the Rfam family "Bacterial small subunit ribosomal RNA", at positions 524 to 776 of the family's 1533-position model. The record is from RNAcentral.